GACGAACGCUGGCGGCGUGCCUAAUACAUGCAAGUCGAGCGAAGUUUUUCUGGUGCUUGCACUAGAAAAACUUCGCGGCGCACGGGUGUGUAACACGUAAAGAACCUUCCUCAUAGACCGGGACAACUAUUGGAAACGAUAGCUAAUACCCGAUAACAGUCUUUCUCGCAUGAGAGAUAUUUAAAAGUUGUUUAUGCUAACACUAUGAGAUGGCUUUGCGGUGCAUUAGCUAGUUGGUGGGGUAAAGGCCCACCAAGGCGACGAUGCAUAGCCGACCUGAGAGGAUGAUCGGCCACACUGGGACUGAGACACGGCCCAGACUCCUACGGGAGGCAGCAGUAGGGAAUAUUCCGCAAUGGGCGAAAGCCUGACGGAGCAACGCCGCGUGAGUGAAGAAGGAUUUCGGGUCGUAAAGCUCUGUUGUUAGGGAAGAAAGGAUAUGUAGUAAUUAUACAUGUAAGAGACGGUACCUAACCAGAAAGCCACGGCUAACUACGUG
RNAcentral lists this ribosomal RNA (499 nucleotides) under uncultured bacterium. RNAcentral's name for it is "partial 16S ribosomal RNA". It matches the Rfam family "Bacterial small subunit ribosomal RNA", at positions 28 to 507 of the family's 1533-position model. The record is from RNAcentral.